AGAGUUUGAUCCUGGCUCAGGACGAACGCUGGCGGCGUGCUUAACACAUGCAAGUCGAACGGUGAUCCAGGGCUUGCUCUGGUGAUCAGUGGCGAACGGGUGAGUAACACGUGAGUAACCUGCCCCUGACUCUGGGAUAACUGCUGGAAACGGUGGCUAAUACCGGAUAUGAGACCUUGCCGCAUGGUAUGGGUUUGGAAAGAUUUUUUGGUCAGGGAUGGGCUCGCGGCCUAUCAGCUUGUUGGUGGGGUGAUGGCCUACCAAGGCGACGACGGGUAGCCGGCCUGAGAGGGCGACCGGCCACACUGGGACUGAGACACGGCCCAGACUCCUACGGGAGGCAGCAGUGGGGAAUAUUGCACAAUGGGCGCAAGCCCGAUGCAGCGACGCCGCGUGAGGGAUGAAGGCCUUCGGGUUGUAAACCUCUUUCAGCAGGGAAGAAGCGUAAGUGACGGUACCUGCAGAAGAAGCGCCGGCUAACUACGUG
This 487-nucleotide ribosomal RNA is filed under the name uncultured Cellulomonadaceae bacterium. Its description in RNAcentral is "bacterial SSU rRNA". It matches the Rfam family "Bacterial small subunit ribosomal RNA", at positions 8 to 507 of the family's 1533-position model. The record is from RNAcentral. Lineage: Bacteria; Bacillati; Actinomycetota; Actinomycetes; Micrococcales; Cellulomonadaceae.